Molecule: ribosomal RNA, 253 nt
Filed under: uncultured bacterium
Lineage: Bacteria
Description: partial 16S ribosomal RNA
Rfam family: Bacterial small subunit ribosomal RNA
Source: RNAcentral
UACAGAGGUCUCAAGCGUUGUUCGGAUUCAUUGGGCGUAAAGGGUGCGUAGGCGGCGCUGUAAGUCGGGUGUGAAAUCUUGGAGCUUAACUCCGAAACUGCAUUCGAUACUGCCGUGCUUGAGGACUGGAGAGGAGACUGGAAUUUACGGUGUAGCGGUGAAAUGCGUAGAUAUCGUAAGGAAGACCAGUGGCGAAGGCGGGUCUCUGGACAGUUCCUGACGCUGAGGCACGAAGGCCAGGGGAGCAGACGGG